Molecule: transfer RNA, 72 nt
Filed under: Sphaerobolus stellatus SS14
Lineage: Eukaryota; Fungi; Basidiomycota; Agaricomycetes; Geastrales; Sphaerobolaceae
Description: tRNA-Glu (TTC) (tRNA-Glu-TTC-6-1)
Rfam family: tRNA
About the family: Transfer RNA (tRNA) molecules are approximately 80 nucleotides in length. Their secondary structure includes four short double-helical elements and three loops (D, anti-codon, and T loops). Further hydrogen bonds mediate the characteristic L-shaped molecular structure. tRNAs have two regions of fundamental functional importance: the anti-codon, which is responsible for specific mRNA codon recognition, and the 3' end, to which the tRNAs corresponding amino acid is attached (by aminoacyl-tRNA synthetases). tRNAs cope with the degeneracy of the genetic code in two manners: having more than one tRNA (with a specific anti-codon) for a particular amino acid; and 'wobble' base-pairing, i.e. permitting non-standard base-pairing at the 3rd anti-codon position.
Source: RNAcentral
UCCAUAAUGGUGUAAUGGCUAACAUCGCUGUCUUUCAGAUUGCAGCUCGGGGUUCGAUUCCCCGUUGUGGAA